GCCAGUGUGGCUCAGUGGCUACAGUGUCAGCCUGCAGACUGAAGGGUCCUGGGUUCAAUUCCGGUCAAUGGCA
This 73-nucleotide transfer RNA is filed under the name Myotis davidii. It matches the Rfam family "tRNA". From Rfam's summary of the family: Transfer RNA (tRNA) molecules are approximately 80 nucleotides in length. Their secondary structure includes four short double-helical elements and three loops (D, anti-codon, and T loops). Further hydrogen bonds mediate the characteristic L-shaped molecular structure. tRNAs have two regions of fundamental functional importance: the anti-codon, which is responsible for specific mRNA codon recognition, and the 3' end, to which the tRNAs corresponding amino acid is attached (by aminoacyl-tRNA synthetases). tRNAs cope with the degeneracy of the genetic code in two manners: having more than one tRNA (with a specific anti-codon) for a particular amino acid; and 'wobble' base-pairing, i.e. permitting non-standard base-pairing at the 3rd anti-codon position. The record is from Rfam by way of RNAcentral. Lineage: Eukaryota; Metazoa; Chordata; Mammalia; Chiroptera; Vespertilionidae.